Molecule: long non-coding RNA, 243 nt
Filed under: Citrus sinensis (sweet orange)
Lineage: Eukaryota; Viridiplantae; Streptophyta; Magnoliopsida; Sapindales; Rutaceae
Description: long non-coding RNA (CSIN_LNC001240)
Source: RNAcentral
GUUGCUGCUCUUCCUCUAGCUAACGGUUGUCGUUGCUAUGAAGAACUUUGCAAUUUGUGUUCAAUUUCGUUAAGAAGGUCUAGGGUUUGGCAAUUUCUAGUCAAUUAGGGUUAGUGUUUGGCAAUUUCUCCUAAUUUUCAUUUUUUAUGAGUAAUGCGAAUUUUUUAAUUUCCUACUUUUUACAAUUUUUUUUAAUAAUGUGAAUAUUUUUUGUUUUAUAGUUUUUACAAAUUUUUAUUUUUU